AGAUCAUUUGGGUUUCUGCACCAGGAAAAAACUUUCUACUGCACUUAUCAACAAGACAAGACAUCAUGAGUGAUAACCCGGCCGCACCAGCCACAGGGCCAGAGGUGAAAGGACCUGACGCAGACGGAGGAAAGGGACACGGACAUGGACAUGGACAUGGACAUGGACAUGGACACGGAAAAGAUCAUGGGAAAGAACAUAAAAACAAGGGAGAAGGAAAACCAGAUGAAAAGAAAGGAGGUCAUGGUCAAGGUCAUGGUCAUGGUCAUGGUCCUGGUAAAUGAAGAAAAACUCCUUGAAUCAACAUUCUAUGAUAAUGAUUGUAAAAAAAAUCAAUACAUAAUCUUCAAUAAACUAAUCCAGAAAAAGGCAA
This is a long non-coding RNA of Perca flavescens (yellow perch), 373 nucleotides long. RefSeq lists it as uncharacterized. Lineage: Eukaryota; Metazoa; Chordata; Actinopteri; Perciformes; Percidae. The record is from RefSeq and is a predicted model, not a curated record. The transcript is spliced from 5 exons.